ACUCCUGCGGGAGGCAGCAGUGGGGAAUUUUGGACAAUGGGGGCAACCCUGAUCCAGCAAUGCCGCGUGAGUGAAGAAGGCCUUCGGGUUGUAAAGCUCUUUUGUCAGGGAAGAAACGGUGGUGGCGAAUAACUACUACUAAUGACGGUACCUGAAGAAUAAGCACCGGCUAACUACGUGCCAGCAGCCGCGGUAAUACGUAGGGUGCAAGCGUUAAUCGGAAUUACUGGGCGUAAAGCGUGCGCAGGCGGUUGUGUAAGUCAGAUGUGAAAUCCCCGGGCUCAACCUGGGAAUUGCAUUUGAGACUGCACGGCUAGAGUGUGUCAGAGGGGGGUAGAAUUCCACGUGUAGCAGUGAAAUGCGUAGAUAUGUGGAGGAAUACCGAUGGCGAAGGCAGCCCCCUGGGAUAACACUGACGCUCAUGCACGAAAGCGUGGGGAGCAAACAGGAUUAGAUACCCUUGUAGUCCCAU
Molecule: ribosomal RNA, 472 nt
Filed under: uncultured organism
Description: partial 16S ribosomal RNA
Rfam family: Bacterial small subunit ribosomal RNA
Source: RNAcentral